AAUGUUGAAAAAUUAGCGGAUGACCUGUGGCUGGGGGUGAAAGGCCAAUCAAACCGGGAGAUAGCUGGUUCUCCCCGAAAGCUAUUUAGGUAGCGCCUCGUGAAUUCAUCUCCGGGGGUAGAGCACUGUUUCGGCCAGGGGGCCAUCCCGGCUUACCAAUCCGAUGCAAACUGCGAAUACCGGAGAAUGUUAUCACGGGAGACACACGGCGGGUGCUAACGUCCGUCGUGAAGAGGGAAACAACCCAGACCGCCAGCUAAGGUCCCAAAGUCAUGGUUAAGUGGGAAACGAUGUGGGAAGGCCCAGACAGCCAGGAUGUUGGCUUAGAAGCAGCCAUCAUUUAAAGAAAGCGUAAUAGCUCACUGGUCGAGUCGGCCUGCGCGGAAGAUGUAACGGGGCUAAACCAUGCACCGAAGCUGCGGCAGCGAACGUAUCACCCAAGACAACUUUACACAGUUGACGCCUGACGGAGCGAAGCGACGUCAAAGCGUUUUACAACGUCGAGUUGGCUUAGGGAUACGUUCGUUGGGUAGGGGAGCGUUCUGUAAGCCGUUGAAGGUGUGUCGUGAGGCAUGCUGGAGGUAUCAGAAGUGCGAAUGCUGACAUAAGUAACGAUAAAGCGGGUGAAAAGCCCGCUCGCCGGAAGACCAAGGGUUCCUGUCCAACGUUAAUCGGGGCAGGGUGAGUCGACCCCUAAGGCGAGGCCGAAAGGCGUAGUCGAUGGGAAACGGGUUAAUAUUCCCGUACUUGGUGUUACUGCGAAGGGGGGACGGAGAAGGCUAUGUUGGCCGGGCGACGGUUGUCCCGGUUUAAGCGUGUAGGUGUGUGUUCCAGGUAAAUCCGGUUCACUUUAACACUGAGGCGUGAUGACGAGGCACCACGGUGCUGAAGCAACAAAUGCCCUGCUUCCAGGAAAAGCCUCUAAGCCUCAGGUAACAUCAAAUCGUACCCCAAACCGACACAGGUGGUCAGGUAGAGAAUACCAAGGCGCUUGAGAGAACUCGGGUGAAGGAACUAGGCAAAAUGGUGCCGUAACUUCGGGAGAAGGCACGCUGACACGUAGGUGAAGUGGUUUACCCAUGGAGCUGAAGUCAGUCGAAGAUACCAGCUGGCUGCAACUGUUUAUUAAAAACACAGCACUGUGCAAACACGAAAGUGGACGUAUACGGUGUGACGCCUGCCCGGUGCCGGAAGGUUAAUUGAUGGGGUCAGCGCAAGCGAAGCUCCUGAUCGAAGCCCCGGUAAACGGCGGCCGUAACUAUAACGGUCCUAAGGUAGCGAAAUUCCUUGUCGGGUAAGUUCCGACCUGCACGAAUGGCGUAAUGAUGGCCAGGCUGUCUCCACCCGGGACUCAGUGAAAUUGAACUCGCUGUGAAGAUGCAGUGUACCCGCGGCAAGACGGAAAGACCCCGUGAACCUUUACUAUAGCUUGACACUGAACACUGGUCCUUGAUGUGCAGGAUAGGUGGGAGGCUUUGAAGUGUGGACGCCAGUCUGCAUGGAGCCAUCCUUGAAAUACCACCCUUUAAUGGCUGGUGUUCUAACGUGGGCCCGUGAACCGGGUUGCGGACAGUGUCUGGUGGGUAGUUUGACUGGGGCGGUCUCCUCCUAAAGAGUAACGGAGGAGCACGAAGGUUGGCUAAUCCUGGUCGGACAUCAGGAGGUUAGUGCAAUGGCAUAAGCCAGCUUGACUGCGAGCGUGACGGCGCGAGCAGGUGCGAAAGCAGGUCAUAGUGAUCCGGUGGUUCUGAAUGGAAGGGCCAUCGCUCAACGGAUAAAAGGUACUCCGGGGAUAACAGGCUGAUACCGCCCAAGAGUUCAUAUCGACGGCGGUGUUUGGCACCUCGAUGUCGGCUCAUCACAUCCUGGGGCUGAAGUAGGUCCCAAGGGUAUGGCUGUUCGCCAUUUAAAGUGGUACGCGAGCUGGGUUUAGAACGUCGUGAGACAGUUCGGUCCCUAUCUGCCGUGGGCGCUGGAAGAUUGAGGGGGGCUGCUCCUAGUACGAGAGGACCGGAGUGGACGCAUCACUGGUGUUCGGGUUGUCAUGCCAAUGGCACUGCCCGGUAGCUACAUGCGGAAGAGAUAAGUGCUGAAAGCAUCUAAGCACGAAACUUGCCCCGAGAUGAAUCUUCCCUGAGCCUUUAAGGCUCCUGAAGGAACGUUGAAGACGACGACGUUGAUAGGCCGGGUGUGUAAGCGCAGCGAUGCGUUGAGCUAACCGGUACUAAUGAACCGUGAGGCUUAACCUUACA
This 2252-nucleotide ribosomal RNA is filed under the name Salmonella enterica. Its description in RNAcentral is "partial 23S ribosomal RNA". It matches the Rfam family "Bacterial large subunit ribosomal RNA", at positions 785 to 2925 of the family's 2925-position model. The record is from RNAcentral. Lineage: Bacteria; Pseudomonadati; Pseudomonadota; Gammaproteobacteria; Enterobacterales; Enterobacteriaceae.